UUGCUCAAAAUUUUUUUUCCUCAAUUUUUUUUUCCUCAAAAUUUUUUUUUCCUCAAAAUAUUUUUCCUCAAAAAGUUUUUCUUCUAAUUUUUUUUUCAUUUCCUUAUUCGUUUUCUUUUUCCUUUUUCGAUUAUCAUCCUUAUUCGAUUUCCAUUUCCUUAGUCGAUUUUCACUUCCUUAUUCGAUUUUCUUUUCCCUAUUCGGUUUCUUCUUCCUUUUUCAAUAUUCAUUUCCUUUUUCGGUUUCUAUUUCCUUAUUCGGUUUCUAUUUCCUUAAUGGAUUUUCAUUUCCUUAUUCGAUUUCCAUUUCCUUAAUCAAUUUUCAUUUCCUUAUUCGGUUUCUUUUUCCUUUUUCAAUAUUCAUUUCCUUAUUCGGUUUCUAUUUCCUUAUUCAGUUUCUAUUUCCUUAUUGGAUUUUCAUUUCCUUAUUCGGUUUCUUUUUCCUUUUUCAACAUUCAUUUCCUUUUUCGGUUUCUAGUUCCUUAUUCAGUUUCUAUUUCCUUAUUGGAUUUUCAUUUCCUUAUUCAAUUUCAAUUUCCUUAUUCGGUUUCUUUUUCCUUAUUCGGUUUCUUUUUCCUUAUUCGGUUUCUUUUUCCUUUUUCAAUAUUCAUUUCCUUUUUUCGGUUUCUGUUUCCUUAUUCGGUUUCUAUUUCCUUAUUCGGU
Molecule: long non-coding RNA, 662 nt
Filed under: Mytilus galloprovincialis (Mediterranean mussel)
Lineage: Eukaryota; Metazoa; Mollusca; Bivalvia; Mytilida; Mytilidae
Source: RNAcentral